RNAcentral lists this ribosomal RNA (588 nucleotides) under uncultured Actinomycetes bacterium. RNAcentral describes it as "bacterial SSU rRNA". It matches the Rfam family "Bacterial small subunit ribosomal RNA", at positions 77 to 662 of the family's 1533-position model. The record is from RNAcentral. Lineage: Bacteria; Bacillati; Actinomycetota; Actinomycetes.
AGCUUGCUGGGUUGGAUGAGUGGCGAACGGGUGAGUAACACGUGAGUAACCUGCCCCCUUCUUUGGGAUAACGGUCGGAAACGGCUGCUAAUACCGGGUAUUCACUGUCCUUCGCAUGGGGGGUGGUGGAAAGGUUUUUUCUGGUGGGGGAUGGGCUCGCGGCCUAUCAGCUUGUUGGUGGGGUGAUGGCUUACCAAGGUCUUUGACGGGUAACCGGCCUGAGAGGGUGACCGGUCACAUUGGGACUGAGAUACGGCCCAGACUCCUACGGGAGGCAGCAGUGGGGAAUAUUGCACAAUGGGCGAAAGCCUGAUGCAGCGACGCCGCGUGAGGGAUGACGGCCUUCGGGUUGUAAACCUCUUUCGCUCAUGGUCAAGCCGCAACAGUGGUUGUGGUGAGGGUAGUGGGUAAAGAAGCACCGGCUAACUACGUGCCAGCAGCCGCGGUAAUACGUAGGGUGCGAGCGUUGUCCGGAAUUAUUGGGCGUAAAGGGCUUGUAGGCGGUUUGUCGCGUCUGCCGUGAAAUCCUCUGGCUUAACUGGGGGCGUGCGGUGGGUACGGGCAGGCUUGAGUGCGGUAGGGGAGACU